GUUCCCCCUUCCGCGUUUCCAACAAGCCAACCCUUCUUUCAGUCUUCCAUCCUGUAAACAGAAAACAGCGAAGCCUUUUCUUCAUCAUCGUCCGCCUGUAGGGCUUUAGCAUGUAGCGAUUCCGGUAUUCGGCACCAAUUUCAAGCUCCAGUUGUCUGAAUUUGGAAUACAAUGGCUAAUAUAAUUCCAUCAGUGAUUGAUGGAUUUAAGGAACAUGAAAGAUUGGCCCUUUAUUGGGGUUUGGAGCUGUUCUCGGAUGGAGACAGUGUGGAUGUUCGUGAACUAGCAACGACAACUUUCCGUUCAGCUGCGAAUUAUUCGGUGCAAGUUCGGGAGGAGGCCGUUGUUCGUUUAGCAGAGAAUUUCACUGGUACAAAUAAUAUUAACCUGUUUGAACCGGUGGGAGAUUUUGGCAAUCGUUAUAAGGGUCCGUUAGAUUCUGGAGCUGAUACUACAGGUUUGGAGAUUACAAUCAAUCCGAUCACUCGAUUUAUCUUCAUUGAGGAAUGAGGAUGAUGAUUCAGUGGCCAAGCGGUUCCUUGAGGGAUGUAGUUCGUGUGGUAAAUCGCCUAAUUGGUUGAUUCCAAUCAUACCCUUUAUUCUUGUCAAUGGAUGUGAUGGAAAAGGGUCAUGGCUAAAAUCUUGUAUCCCCAAAUAUAAACCUCAAGACAUAAUUUCCAAUGUCCGACUAUAUUUGCAAAAAAAGGAAAUGAUUCCUAUGAUACCAUGGUUCAAGGGUUUCGAAGGCAAAGUUGAGUUGUCUCCAACAGAUUUGUCAGAUAAUACACAGUAUCUAAUCAGCGGAGUUAUUGCCAAGUUUGAUUGCAAAUCAAGGAGAGUUACAAUCACUGAAUUGCCUAUUGGGUUAUGGACUCAUGAAUAUAAAUCUUGGUUGGAUGAGCAACAAUGGAUUCAGUCUGUAAAGGACCUUAGUGAGUCUAGUGGAAAAAUACAUCUAGAAGUUACCUUGUCGAAUGAUGCCUGGCUAGCUGACGAGGGAUACCUGAUGAAGAAGUUGGAGCUUAUCAGGACAUUCAGUCUCAGUGAUAUGCAUGCUAGUAAUCCAUGUGGGAAUGUUGUGAAAUAUGAAAACCCGCUGGAAAUUAUAAUGGAUUUCGCUUCCUUUAGGUUGGCAUACUACAUAAAAAGGAAGGCGGACUUGUUGGCUGAUAUUAACUCAAAGCUGAUGUCAAACAUGUCUGAUAUCGAGAAUUUCAUUGGAAUCACUAGUCGUUCUUCUAAGGGAAUCAAGCAUUGGAUGUCCAAGUUGAAAGAGUCUCCAGAAACAGCAAAGUUGUCAAAUCUGUCAGAUUUGCUUUAUGAUAAAUUAAAAAUGAUUAACAAAGAUGAUUUCGUAAAAAGAGCAACGGAGAAUGACGUGGUCACAUUACUUGGGAGAGCUGUUACUCUCAGACAGUCACCGCGAAUUCGUGGGCAAAAUAACUUGUCUGAGGAUGAUUACUUAGCUUUGGAAACUGUGUGCAAUGCUCUUAAGAAAGUUAGUGCUGCUAUAUCUAAAAUUAGGGAAUUGUGUACCAGAAGGAAUGAUCUUAAGCGGAGGCUUAGUCAGCUUCAAAAGGAAGAUGGCCUUUCUUUGUGGCUCAAAGAUCUUGAUCAGCUUGAGCUGUGCUUUAAGGUGGAGUAAUUGCUUCUGCAAGAAUUGGGUGCAAUGUGAGGAAGAGGUGGAAUGCCAAAGCAGUAAAAGAGAAGCCAUGGCUCAAAGGAUAAGAGGUCUGAAAAGGAAGGCUGGAUUCAACCGUUAAGGCUUUCUUCUUUAUCCAAGUUGGUACUGUUCUUCUCUUAGCAGCCCAUAUGCUUUUCUCACAUCUUUCUUUGAUCUCAGUUCCUGCAUUAUGGACAUUGUGUUUACUUAAUUUGGGUGCUGUUUUUAUACAAUCCAAUAUUAAGGUUACGAUCUGAUUCAAUACUCAAGAAUAUCUGGCAAAUCACCUAUAUAGUUAUUUUAUUGAUAUAUAUUCUGGAAAUACUCAAGAAGAUCUGACAAACCACCGCCUGUUGAAGGGUGGGCUAAGGUCAAUGUUGAUGAUGGGCAGUUAGGGGAGGUUGGUUCGGGUCUGGGGGUCGUGGUUAGGUGGGGUGCACUGAAGAGGUUCUUGCUUGUGCUACUAUGCAAUGCCGAGAGCGUUGGGAGGUGACUAUUUCGGAGGCCAAGGUUGUGCUAUUGGGUCUGCUAAACUUGUGUCGGAUAAUUGUUGAGAGCGAUUGUUCGAUGGUGAUUCAAGCACUUCGAAAUGGAUCGAAGGGAAGCAACAUGUUUUCUUUCGUUAUUGUUGACAUUCUUGAGUUUUGUUCUUUUUAUUUAUUUAUUUUGUUUCUUGAUCUUUUGUUAAACGUAGUAGGAACAAACUUGCUCAUAAUUCAUUAGCUCAUUUCCAACCUUGGAAUACGGACAAUGAUUGUGGGAAGAUGACUUUUCGAGCAGUGCUUUGGAUGUAGCUGCUUCCGACAUUUUAAUAUAAUUUCCCGUUGAUGGGUUCCUUGUAAAAAAAAAAUGUGUACUUUCUGUUAAACUAGUAUUCCUAUGUGUUUUUACUCAAAAUAUUGCGAGCCACAAACUUGUAGGAGGACAUUUUGUGGGAAAGAGGGAGUAUUCUUUUUCUUGUAUUGGACUGGUUCAUUUAACAAUAUUUAUCACUCUAACUCUUCAAGUCUUCAAUCAUGUAUGAAAAAUAUUAUGAGGCAAGCAAUAGUAGCUUUUAACUAUGGGUGUGACCUUGAUGCCUAAUGUGACUUCAUUCAAUUG
RNA transcript from Spinacia oleracea (spinach), 2764 nucleotides. It is a transcript of the gene named DNA topoisomerase 2, with no coding region annotated. Lineage: Eukaryota; Viridiplantae; Streptophyta; Magnoliopsida; Caryophyllales; Amaranthaceae. The record is from RefSeq and is a predicted model, not a curated record. The transcript is spliced from 8 exons.